GUGGGUAUAGUUCAAUGGUUGAAUGUGUGCUUAGCAUGCACAAGGUCCUGGGUUUAAUCCCUAGUACCUCUA
This 72-nucleotide transfer RNA is filed under the name Camelus bactrianus (Bactrian camel). It matches the Rfam family "tRNA". From Rfam's summary of the family: Transfer RNA (tRNA) molecules are approximately 80 nucleotides in length. Their secondary structure includes four short double-helical elements and three loops (D, anti-codon, and T loops). RNAcentral also lists the same sequence under 1 other name. Lineage: Eukaryota; Metazoa; Chordata; Mammalia; Artiodactyla; Camelidae. The record is from Rfam by way of RNAcentral.